This 496-nucleotide ribosomal RNA is filed under the name uncultured bacterium. RNAcentral's name for it is "bacterial SSU rRNA". It matches the Rfam family "Bacterial small subunit ribosomal RNA", at positions 15 to 507 of the family's 1533-position model. The record is from RNAcentral.
GAUCCUGGCUCAGGAUGAACGCUAGCGGCAGGCUUAAUACAUGGCAAGUCGAGGGGCAGCAGGGUAGCAAUAUCGCUGGCGACCGGCGCACGGGUGCGUAACACGUAUACAAUCUGCCUUUUAACAGGGGGAUAGCCCGGAGAAAUCCGGAUUAAUACCCCAUAAUAGUAGAACUGGCAUCAGUUUUAUUUGAAAGCUCCGGCGGUUAAAGAUGAGUAUGCGUCUGAUUAGCUAGUUGGUGAGGUAACGGCUCACCAAGGCGACGAUCAGUAGGGGAUCUGAGAGGAUUAACCCCCACACGGAUACUGAGACACGGAUCCGACUCCUACGGGAGGCAGCAGUAAGGAAUAUUGGACAAUGCCCGCAAGGGUGAUCCAGCCAUGCCGCGUGCAGGAAGACGGCCCUAUGGGUUGUAAACUGCUUUUACACCGGAGAAAACCUCCCCUCGUGAGGGGAGCUGAUAGUAUGGUGAGAAUAAGCAUCGGCUAACUUCGUG